CCUACGGGAGGCAGCAGUGAGGAAUAUUGGUCAAUGGACGAGAGUCUGAACCAGCCAAGUAGCGUGAAGGAUGACUGCCCUAUGGGUUGUAAACUUCUUUUAUAUGGGAAUAAAACGUUCCACGUGUGGGAUUUUGUAUGUACCAUAUGAAUAAGGAUCGGCAAACUCCGUGCCAGCAGCCGCGGUAAUACGGAGGAUCCGAGCGUUAUCCGGAUUUAUUGGGUUUAAAGGGAGCGUAGGUGGAUUGUUAAGUCAGUUGUGAAAGUUUGCGGCUCAACCGUAAAAUUGCAGUUGAAACUGGCAGUCUUGAGUACAGUAGAGGUGGGCGGAAUUCGUGGUGUAGCGGUGAAAUGCUUAGAUAUCACGAAGAACUCCGAUUGCGAAGGCAGUUCACUGGACUGCAACUGACACUGAGGCUCGAAAGUGUGGGUAUCAAACAGGAUUAGAUACCCGUGUAGUC
This 460-nucleotide ribosomal RNA is filed under the name uncultured bacterium. Its description in RNAcentral is "partial 16S ribosomal RNA". It matches the Rfam family "Bacterial small subunit ribosomal RNA", at positions 338 to 795 of the family's 1533-position model. The record is from RNAcentral.